UGAGCGGCGAACGGGUGAGUAACGCGUGAGCAACCUACCUUAGUUACUGGGAUAGCCCGAGGAAACUCGGAUUAAUACCGGAUAUUCUUAUUUAAUCACAUGAUUUUUUAAGGAAAGGUCAGCCGAACUAAGAUGGGCUCGCGUUCUAUCAGCUAGUUGGUAGGGUAAUGGCCUACCAAGGCUACGACGGAUAGCUGGUUUGAGAGGAUGAUCAGCCACACUGGGACUGAGACACGGCCCAGACUCCUACGGGAGGCUGCAGCAGGGAAUAUUGCGCAAUGAGCGAAAGCUUGACGCAGCGACACCGCGUGUGGGAUGACGGAUCUAGGUUUGUAAACCACUUUCAGGAGGGAAGAAAAUGACGGUACCUCCACAAGAAGCCCCGGCCAACUACGUGCCAGCAGCCGCGGUAAUACGUAGGGGGCGAGCGUUGUCCGGAUUUAUUGGGCGUAAAGAGCUCGUAGGCGGUUCAACAAGUCGGUCGUGAAAGUUCAGGGCUCAACCCUGAAAUGUCGAUCGAUACUGUUGUGACUAGGAUACGGUAGAGGUGAGUGGAAUUCCGAGUGUAGCGGUGAAAUGCGUAGAUAUUCGGAGGAACACCAAUUGCGAAGGCAGCUCACUGGGCCGCUAUCGACGCUGAGGAGCGAAAGCUAGGGGAGCAAACAGGAUUAGAUACCCUGGUAGUCCUAGCUGUAAACGAUGGAUACUAGACGUAGGAAUUGGAUUAACGAUUUCUGUGUCGUAGCUAACGCGUUAAGUAUCCCGCCUGGGGAGUACGGUCGCAAGACUAAAACUCAAAGGAAUUGACGGGACCCCGCACAAGCGGCGGAGCAUGCGGCUUAAUUCGAUGAUACCCGUAGAACCUUACCUGGACUUGACAUAUAGGGAAAAGUUAUAGAAAUAUAAUGUGCAUUAGCGCCCUAUACAGGUGGUGCAUGGCUGUCGUCAGCUCGUGUCGUGAGAUGUU
RNAcentral lists this ribosomal RNA (967 nucleotides) under marine metagenome. RNAcentral describes it as "bacterial SSU rRNA". It matches the Rfam family "Bacterial small subunit ribosomal RNA", at positions 92 to 1076 of the family's 1533-position model. The record is from RNAcentral.